GGGGAAUAUUGCACAAUGGGGGAAACCCUGAUGCAGCAACGCCGCGUGAAGGAUGAAGGUUUUCGGAUUGUAAACUUCUUUAGUCAGGGACGAAAAAAAUGACGGUACCUGAAGAAUAAGCCACGGCUAACUACGUGCCAGCAGCCGCGGUAAUACGUAGGGAGCAAGCGUUGUCCGGAUUUACUGGGUGUAAAGGGUGCGUAGGCGGGAAUGUAAGUCAGAUGUGAAAUCCCAGGGCUUAACCCUGGAGCUGCAUCUGAAACUAUGUUUCUUGAGUGCCGGAGAGGAAAGCGGAAUUCCUAGUGUAGCGGUGAAAUGCGUAGAUAUUAGGAGGAACACCAGUGGCGAAGGCGGCUUUCUGGACGGUAACUGACGCUGAGGCGCGAAAGCGUGGGGAGCAAAC
RNAcentral lists this ribosomal RNA (403 nucleotides) under uncultured bacterium. Its description in RNAcentral is "bacterial SSU rRNA". It matches the Rfam family "Bacterial small subunit ribosomal RNA", at positions 356 to 773 of the family's 1533-position model. The record is from RNAcentral.